Molecule: long non-coding RNA, 3407 nt
Filed under: Sus scrofa (pig)
Lineage: Eukaryota; Metazoa; Chordata; Mammalia; Artiodactyla; Suidae
Description: lncRNA (ENSSSCG00030016308.1)
Source: RNAcentral
UCUAAUUGUUCUCUCUCUGUGUAUGUAUAUAUAGGUCAUAUAUGUGUAUAUCAUAUCAUAUAUAUAUGUGUGCGUGUAUCCAUAUCAUAUAUCAUAUAUAUAUAGAGAGAGAAAAAGAGUGAGUCAGGAGAGACAGAGGAAGGAGAGAGAGAGAAUCCUACAGAAAGUACCACUAACGGUGUGCUUAUUGUGAGUCAGACAUUGCAUUGUGCUCUAAGGUUUGGAAAAGAAGUCAAAAGUACAACUGAUAGCAGCCAGCUGGAAUAGGGAUUUCUCUUUCGGGAAGCCCGAGGAGAGAUGAGUAAAAAGGUUUUCUAAGGUGGUGUAGCAAGGAAGGAUCAAGGGGCCAGACUCUGUCAGACUGAUUAGAAUUUAAGUCUGUGCUCACCUAUUGUAUAGAAUACGGGACUGUGUAUGUUGCUGAUUAAAAGUCCUGGAGAAAUAUGGUUUAACUAGGAUCACUGGCAUGUCCAAGAGAAACUGGAGAAUGUCUGACAAUUCAAUUGAUGACUCACUUGAUGUCAUUUUAAUUUCCUUGAAAGGAAAAAAAAAAAAAAAAAAAAAAAAANAAAAAUGCUUAUAACCCAAAGUCUACUGGGAACCAGGAGAACAAAGGAGAUAGAGUUUGGGCUUGACUGCCUCCUCGUGGCACCAUGGGCCUCUUCUGUGUCAUCAUCUGCAAGGCGGAGGUCCAGUACCGAUGAAAGGCAACUUAGAAUCACAGACCUGCUUUCAUUGUAUCUGUGAAUUUCUUGCUGCUGGGUUAAGUGUGGUAUAUACUUUGGGCUGGUCAUGAAUAGACUUUUCUUUUAGGAUGAAGCAUGUAUAUUUUCUCUCUGGGUAUUAUGGAAGCCUCCAAUCCCCAUGCACUGAGCUCCCACAUUUCCAUUGCUCUGAAAAAGUUCUGACAUGCUGGUGAAAAUGUGAGGGUGGCAUUUCAUACAAAUUCUUCUUUUGCCUUUAUUCCGGGUGUUUGUUUGUUUGUUUGUUUUUGGUAAAGGAGAUAAAUUAUUUUUCCCUCUUUGAAUCAAAGUGCAUUUAAAGCAGUUUAAGUGUAAAAACCAUUUAUUGAUUGUUUUCCAUUAACAUGGUUUCAGAGGCUAAGUAGGUAAUUUAACAAUCAGGUAGAAAAACCCUACAGUGUGCCUUUUCUGAGUCCUUGCACCAAUGAAAACAUUCUACAUAAUAGAUGUAUACUUGUGGUGCAUUUGUCUGCCCACACAUCCUUGAUGUGUUGGAAAGAAAAGCUAUAAAAGCUCUUCUCUGCUUGUCCUGAAAACCUACGGAAACUUAGGGGUUUGGGUUGGGAUUUUGAUUACUGAGUUCUUUGCUUUGAGAGUGUUGAUCUUUAAUUCAGAAUGCCUUUGUCCUGUCAGGAAUUCACCUAGAUACUGAGUACUUAAAACAUAAGUUCAGCAGAGAAAGUUUUAAAGGACUGGGUCAUAAAAAUGUUUCUCUUUUAGAGACCAGUCAACUCUUAAGGCAAAAAUAAGCUCUCUCUGUUGACAGAAGGUAUGAGGAGAAGAACGUCUCCUUAGCGCUGUGUGUUCUUCAAAGGGCUAGAUUUCACCUAUAGUGUGGACAGGUAUGUACAGGACUCUGUAUGGACCAAAUUCCAGGAAGGAAAAAGGAAUUGAGAUGAUGUUGAUUCAUCAGUCUGCCACAGAACUGGGGAUGUAAAUUGCUGCAGUCACUAUAUAAGACAGUGUGGAGGUUCCUCACAAGAACGAAAAAUAGAGUUGCCAUGUGAUCCAGCAGUCCCACUCCUGGGCGUAUGUCCAGACAAAACCAUAAUUCUAAAAGAUACAUGUACCUUCAUGUUUAUAGCAGCACUAUUCACAAUAGCUAAGGCAUGGAAACAGCCUAAAUGUCCACUGACAGAUCAACGAAUAAAGAAGAUGUGGUACAUACCAAUGGGAUGCUAUUCAGGCAGAAAAAAGAAAAAAUGAUAUAAUGCCAUUUGCAGCAACAUGGAUGGACCUAGAUACAAUCAUACUAAGUGAAGUAAGGCAGGCAAAGACAAAUACAUGAUUUCACUUAUGUGUUGUGUAAUCUAAAAUGUGACACAAUUUAUCUAUGAAACAUACACAGACAUAGAGAACAGACUUGUGGUUGCCAUGGUUGUGGGGGAGCAAUGGACUGGGAGUUUUGGAUUAGCUGAUGCAAACUAUUAUAUAUAGAAUGGAUAAACUGCAUUCUACUAUAUAAUACAUAAAUGUAUAAAUAUUUUCAAUUUCCUAUAGUAAACCACAAUCUGAAAGAGUACAUAUAUAUUAUAUAUAACUGACUCACUUUGUUAUAUGGAGGAAUGAACACAACAUUGUAAAUCAGCUAUGCUUUAAUAAAAUAAAAUAAAUAAAUAUACCAUAAUGCUUCCUGGCCCCCAUGCUCUAGUGCAUUGAGCAGAUUUUUCAGUUGUCUUUUCAAGUGAAGACAGUAUAAAUUAGUGACUGUGGGCUCAGACUUGAGAAAAGGCAAAACAAACUUGUGCCUGAAUAUUAGAAAAGCCCUUUAAUUUUUCUAAGCCAAUGCUGUUCAAAGUGUGGUCCAUAAACCAACAGACUCAGCAUCACCUAAGCUUGUUAGGCAUGCCGAUUCUAAGGCCCUUUGCCCCACUUAUGAAAUCAGAACCUCUCAGAGAGUAAGGUUCAGGAAUCUGUUUUUAAAUGGGUUUUCCAUAUAAUUCAGAUGCUUUGCUAAAAUGUGAAAACCACUGCUAAACCUGUUUCCUGAUCUCUGAAAAGAAGGGAAUUUUUAAAAAUAGCUCAUGUCUAAAAUCUAGGAGAAACUCUCAGAAUAUUAUUGAUUAAUAAACCUUAGCGUGUAUGGAUAGCUGUAUAAACACACAUGUAUUUAUGAAUGCACACACGUAUGUGGCUUUGAAAGGAGGGGCAAAUCUUUUUCAGAUACCAAGAGUAAAAUUACUGAGGCUUUAAUCAUUGCAGUUGAAAUCUAGAGAAGUGAUAAAAUAGAUCUAAAAAUAAUAAAACUUAAUGUUAGAAUAUAUUAAGAGUUAAGUGAAGUUAUAAAUAAUUGAGUUGGUGUUCUCUAGUGGCCCAGUAUUUAAGGAUCCAGCAUGGUCACUGUUGUGGCUUGGGUUCGAUUCCUGGCCUGGGAACUUUGGCAUGCUUCAGGCACAGCCCCAAACAUGUUUUUUAAAUAAUAAACAAAUGAGUCAGUGGAAGACAAUAGAGUUCUGAAAUAGAUGGAUAGAUGUACAGUCAAUCUGACUAGCAUCCAUGAGGACACAGGUUCGAUCCCUGGCCUUGCUCAGUAGGUUAAGGAUCCAGCAUCACUGUGAGCUGUGGUGUAGGUCACAGAUGUGGCUUGGAUCCUGCGUUGCUGUGGUUGUGGUGUAGGCCAGCAGCUACAGCUCCAAUUUGAUCCCUAGCCUGGGAACCUCCAUA